ACCCAUUCUCACUCCAAAGGCGUCAAAAAUCGAAGCAUGGUCAAGCGCCCCUAGCGUCACUUUUAUGACGCCAAAUGUGCCUCUCGGCGUCGACUAUCGAAGCACUACGACCUUCAUUGCUUUCAGUGGGAAACUUUUGGCGUCAGAAUUCGACACGAGGACAUGAGAUGUUUAUCGCUAUGAAAUCACGUUCAAGAAGUCUCAUUCAGCACACAUCGCGCGAUACUUGCUAUCAGUUCCACAGUUUGGCUGAAAAGACGUAAAGGCAGUCAGCCCAGUGGUGUUUCUGGAGAGGGAUUCCUUCAGAAAUGGAGAAGACAGAAAGCUGCGGAGGCAGAUAUUUGCAGCAUGUUCGAGUGAGCAUGAUGACCACGAGUGUGUGUCGAACUUUUCAUGACCUGAUGACUGUGUUUCCCAAUCCUGAUCCUGGAGAACCCCAGCACUGCACGGUUUUGGCGUCUCUCUUAUCUGCCUUGGAGUCUUCACUGAUGAGCUGAUGAGUUGAAUCAGGUCUAAAAUAUCGAGCUCAACAGCUAUUUUAAGAGCCAACCCUCACAAACCUUCCUAAAACCUAAAAGAGCUAUUACUGAGUCUCAGCGAAUCUUGCCAUGAUCAGCUCUUCCCAGAAGAGAAGGAAGACCAAGGAUAUGAUUUGCUCAGGAUGAGAAAUGAAGAUGGCCAUCUUGAGCUCAAACAAACAGAAGUCCUCUGAUGAUCUCAUCAGCCAAAUGAGGGGUUUUGACCAAGUGAUGCUCUUGAAAGGAGUGAAAGAAGAGGAUGUGGUAAAUUGUCUUCAGAGAAAAGCUUCUCAAAAGAUCUUAAAACAGCUUGAAGAAUGGUCUGGGAUCUUAGGACUGAGAGAUCAUCUGGCUGAGAACAAGCUACACCUCAUCAGUGCUGGACAUCAACCACAAACUGUUUCUAGACACGAGAGAAGAAGAACACGAUGGGGAGAUGAAACCAGUUUAGAUGUGAUGAUGGGAAUCAUUAUUUUCUGAAACAGUAUCACAUGUCUUAUAUGUAUCACAUGAUCUGUAUCACAGUUGACUGGAUGGGACUGUGUGACUUUUAAGGACAUUUCAUCACUCAUCUGUGUGAACUGAUUUAUAUAUGAGGUUAAUGUAUCUUUGAUGAUAAUUAUUUUCAUUGAAUCUUAUUUGUCUUGAUGCUACUUUAUCAACUUUAUAGUCUAUGCUUCAAUAAAAUGAAAAUGGUGAA
Molecule: long non-coding RNA, 1218 nt
Organism: Carassius gibelio (silver crucian carp)
Lineage: Eukaryota; Metazoa; Chordata; Actinopteri; Cypriniformes; Cyprinidae
Exons: 7
Source: RefSeq, a predicted model, not a curated record